This 534-nucleotide long non-coding RNA is filed under the name Eucalyptus grandis. RNAcentral describes it as "long non-coding RNA (EGRA_LNC006384)". Lineage: Eukaryota; Viridiplantae; Streptophyta; Magnoliopsida; Myrtales; Myrtaceae. The record is from RNAcentral.
GAUUCCCUAAACCCUAACCAUCUCUCUUCCUCUCGCUCUCCGUUCAACAACUCCUCCAAGAAUGGCUGAUCUCUCCAAGGUCUCUUGCUUCCUCCUCAUCGCCUGCCUCGUGGCGGCUUCGUCACCGGCGGCUCGCGCGGCCAUCACGUGCUCCCAGAUCUCCUCCAGCAUGGGCCCCUGCAUCGGCUACCUGAGGGGCUCUGGCCCCCUGUCCAGCGCCUGCUGCUCCGGCGUGAAGUCCCUCAACACCGCGGCCCGGACCACCGCGGACCGCCAGGCCGCGUGCCGGUGCCUGCAGUCGGCUGCCGGCAGUAUCCAGGGGAUCGACUUCAACCUCGCCGCCGGCCUCCCCGGAAAGUGCGGCGUCAGCGUGCCUUACAAGAUCAGCCCCACCACCGACUGCAAAUCGUAAGUUCUCCGCCAUUCUUCUUUUUCUCUUUCCCUCUCGCUGUUCCUCGAUCAUCUCUAGGUUACGAUGCAUUCUUGCGUGAACUGAGCUUCACACAGACUGCGUGCGAAACAAAAACUCCUCUC